RNAcentral lists this transfer RNA (74 nucleotides) under Candidatus Roizmanbacteria bacterium RIFCSPHIGHO2_01_FULL_39_12b. RNAcentral describes it as "tRNA-Gly". It matches the Rfam family "tRNA". From Rfam's summary of the family: Transfer RNA (tRNA) molecules are approximately 80 nucleotides in length. Their secondary structure includes four short double-helical elements and three loops (D, anti-codon, and T loops). Further hydrogen bonds mediate the characteristic L-shaped molecular structure. tRNAs have two regions of fundamental functional importance: the anti-codon, which is responsible for specific mRNA codon recognition, and the 3' end, to which the tRNAs corresponding amino acid is attached (by aminoacyl-tRNA synthetases). tRNAs cope with the degeneracy of the genetic code in two manners: having more than one tRNA (with a specific anti-codon) for a particular amino acid; and 'wobble' base-pairing, i.e. permitting non-standard base-pairing at the 3rd anti-codon position. RNAcentral also lists the same sequence under 1 other name. The record is from RNAcentral. Lineage: Bacteria; Candidatus Roizmaniibacteriota.
GCGGGAUUAGUUAAACGGCCUAAUGCCACCCUUCCAAGGUGGAGACACGGGUUCGACUCCCGUAUCCCGCUCAA